Phasianus colchicus (ring-necked pheasant) is the source of this 6671-nucleotide non-coding RNA. The record is from RefSeq and is a predicted model, not a curated record. Lineage: Eukaryota; Metazoa; Chordata; Aves; Galliformes; Phasianidae.
AAAAACUACUAGUGAACAAACAUUAGCUGUUUCUCUGUAGAAAUAGACCAUACUCACUAAUAUUAUUCCACCAUUUCCUUCUUUUACUUUGCAUUUUUAUUUACUACAAUGCACAAGCCAGACACGCAUACUUCUCCCUUAAACUACAACUUUCAAUACAACACGAAGACAUAGCAGAGGCCCCACAGCACACAGAGCUGAUGGCCAUUCCCUGAGGCCCUAUGAGCAGCUCCUGCCCCCCAGCUGUCCCUCUUCACCUGAUCAGCACCCACCUGACCUUCCCUGUCUGCACACCUUCUUAACCCAGCAGGGGGCACGUUCUUCUCAGGAAACCUUCUGUGGUUUCUCGUUCUCUUCUAGAUUAACAGUUCCUGAGGAAGCUGACUAAAGCAAGGCUGCUUCAAAUUGUUUAGUUGGCUUUCUACCCUCACUUGGCAGUUACUGAGAUUCAGCAAGUGUCAAUGAAUGUUGUGGGUGCAAGCUUUUCAUCAUGGAGGAAUUCAGUGAGAUACCUUUGCUUCCAGCACACUUUCAUGUCAGACUGCUGCCAACAACAACAUGCAAUGGAAUAUUGGUGAGAAAGUUCAGCUUUUACUGUCAUACCACACCAUCCACUUGUGACACUGUGGGCCAACAUAAUAAAACAGGAGGCUGCUGCCAAUGUAGAAUGGAUAGCUCAAACAAUGAAUAACGCAUAAUAAAAACGAAAAGAAAAUAGAAUUCUAAAAAGAGCUGUAGUGGCUGUGGAAUCAUUGUGUAGAACAUAGCAAGUUAGUAACAUUUUUUGAAGAUUACAGUGGUUGUGUUUCAGAUCUAUUCGCAGCACUUGUUCCAUUUUCUGGGAAUAUUUUGUUCUUUCUCCAGCAUAGAGUGCUUAUUAAAUUCCUCUUAUUUCCACUGUUCUUCUCAUCUGUAUUUCUGUGAUGAACAUAAGUUUUUACAAUACCUGUAAGUGUUUGACUUAGGGAAUCAAUGAAUCUAGGUAGAAAAUGAGCUUUAGGCACAAUGAGAGCACUGAAGUUAAAGAAGAGAUCUGAUGAAGUUUGAACUCAAAGCUCUGCCUCAAUACACGUCCAGAACUGCUUUUGGCAUUACAGGCUUCCUGGUGCGUAUCUCACUUCUAAGCUUUGAUACUUACAGUAGCCAUUUUCCUACCUAAAUCUAACGUAUAUGAUCAGUAAGUGCUAUAGAGUACACUAAAGUCAUGCUGACAGGAGUAGGGUUAUGCACAAAACCCAGAAAUAUUCCUAAUACAAGAUCCCACUGCUGUUUCUGAUUAAGUCCCAGCAUUUGUCUAGAGAGCAAAAAAUCAGACCUCUUCUGUCAGUUGAGUUUAAAAAUCUCAUUUUUUGUUUAAUGUUUCUGAUUGCUGUGAUCAGGACAGGGUUUUUAUUUAAAAGGACCGAGAUGUCUCUGCAAUAUGAUAAUGAUGAGAAAUUGAUAAAAGUUUUUUUAUAACACAGAAAAUGUUAGAUAAAAGAGGUAAAACUUUUUCAAAAUCCAGUUGCUACAUCAUACAUGUGGAGAGUAAAACCUUUUUUACAAGGUAAUAACAGAACUAGAAAAUGCUUCUGCAGGCCAGAGCUGCAUGACAGCUCCCAGGAAAGACUGGAAGCAAUCCAAAGCUAAUUUUGAAUGUGAAAUACCCUCAUUGACUCCAGAGUUUACCGAUAGACUCAUUGUAUGUAUAAAGUAAUUCAGAUACCACACUAUUGCUAGGAGUACAAUAGUUGAAGUGGUAUGUCAAGAUCUCAGUAAGUAAUGCUUCUGUGCAUAGUGUAAUGUUUAACUGUAUAAUGAAGUCCAGUGUAAUUUUAAAUUUUCUUGUUUGCCACACAAACAAGUGUUUGAUUUCAAAAUAAUGCUAUUAGGAAUAAAAAAGUAAAACUGUGAAGGAAAUAUUCCCUUUUUAGAAUAUUAGCUUAUAUCAUUUAAGCACUUCUGAGAUAUAAUUUGUACUGGUUUUGUGACAUUUAGCUUUUUUGUCAUGCAUUUAAACUCUAUUCAUAAUAGUGUAAUGAUGGUGUACUAUUCCUGAGCACCUCAAUGAGUUGAAUAUUUUUGUCAAGAAUGACUGCCAUAAAACAUGGGAUGGCUAUGGAGAAAAAUAACUUUAGGAAAAGUUCCAAAAGUUCCUAUUGCAUCUACUACAGGGAGGUAAAGGCUUGCCUUUGCUGUAUAGGCUUGUUGUGCAUUUCUAUUUUCUAUGAGUAGCACUUCUUCAAGGGAAGCAGUGUAUACCUGAAACAGUCUUUACUGGUCAUUCUACUACUAUGUACUUCCAUAGAGUUGUUUGGGAUGCUGCCAGAAAUGUAAGAGAAUUCUUUACUGCUUUUGUAGACAUACAGACAAUGGUAACACAAUAUUCAAAACAACAUAGUUUAUGUGGUGAUCUGGAUAAUAGAAGUCUGAAUCACUGUUGGAAACGAUAUGCAAGGGGAGUUUUGGAGAACACUGCCAUGCAAAAACUUAUCAAGGCUUUCCACAGAAAGAGGAGCCCAAAGGAGUAAGAUGAAAUAUUACUACAUGAUGCAUUGAGGAUGACAGGGUUUUAUGGCUCAUAUCAAGAAUAAGAAAAAUGACAGCAACUAAACAUAAAAAGCUGAUCUCUGAUGACUGGCUGCAGUUUUAAAUGAAACAUACUGAGACAUAUCAGUGCAAAAGAAUAGAUGGAUGGCAAGGCUGUUAAAAUUCUAUUGUGUAUACGAAGUUGAAUUAAAUACUGUUUCUCAGUUUGAGUCCCACAAAAUGUUCUACAUUGAUACAUUCAGAAUGUCAAACAUUUUCAAAAAACAUUUGGGCAAAUGUAUCUCAAAAUUGCAGAGAAAGAACACUUGAAAUUUUUUAAUGUAGUAGUAUGCCUGCAAGUUGCUUCAUCUUUGAAAUGUUACAUUCUCCUUCAGUUUCUACCCAUGUUUUACUUUUUAUUUUGUGGGAUCUGACUUUCAUUACUACUUUUCUUUUUUAACUUGUUUCCUAUUAAACACUGCUUUUAUUUGAUGCAUUUCUCUUAAUUAUUCUUCAGGAAGAUUCUCCUGAGCAAUUAUGUCACACUAUACACUUCCAAGGAAGAGGUUUAGCAUACAGCAUGAGCCAGUGUUCUCCCCUUUCUCUUCUCUUUGGCUGUUACAUUUUAUUGGUCUUUCUGGCAGUUUCUCAGAUGGACAAUUCAAACAAAUAGGGUUGGGUCAUUGCUACAAGAGGGGUGUUUGUGUGCAUGCACACAUUUGCAUGCUUCACUUCAUUUGACUGUGCGCUUGUCUGCUGCAUACUUGGCCUAAACUAGACAUGAUGGGGAAUACUGGACUCUUCGCUGGAUCGGUAGUUACUGGUUUUUUGUGUUGCUUUUUUUUUUUUUUUUUCCCUGGACCAUUGCAUUAAAUUGAUGUUCAGAGAACUGCAAAUACUGUGAGCUAAAGCAUGAUAAAAAUAGGGAACAGAACAGUAGAAUGGAGUAGAGUAGGGAAUAAGCUCUUAAGUUGCUUACUGAAUCUUCUGGAACAUCAAGAAUUUGGAGGAGGCAUCAGAAAUUAUCUAAGCAGCUCUGGCUGUUGGUUGUCAGGAAGAGUAGUACAGCCUCCUACUUGGAUUAAUUCUACCAUUUAUCAUCAGGCUCUAAUUCAUGUCAUGAAAUCAGCAGAGAUUUGCCUAUGAGUAUCUUGAAGAGAUGAACCUAUGAAGAAACUCAGAUGGAGCCAGUUAAGUAUUUUGUUUGAUAGUUUUUCUUUGCCUUAAGUAUUGAAAAAUAAACUGAUGUAAAAAGCAUUUUGUAUCACUGCAGCAUAAGAAAACUACUUUUACAGAUUUCACGGAUGUCAACUCAGGUUCUGUCAAGUCAGGUUGGAUUGUGUCAGUCCCACUCUGUUUCAUAACAGGACAUGAGCAAUGCAAGGUGACAUUAUGUUGCAGAUGGGGAAUAAUAUCUAAGGCUUCCUCAAACUCACAGCAGAAUAAAUGCCAUUUUUUCACAAAGCAGAUGGAUACAGCAGAGAAGGCUUUCAAACAGAAACAGCUCUGCUGAUGUCCUUAGAACUGUUUUUCUGCUCUUUACAUCAAUUGCUACACACUGCAAAUAAUGCUGUUCCAGUGGUUCUUGAGAGCUUUUUUGCUAUUUAUUUGUCUUUAAGGUAAUCCUGUCAAUAUAUAUAGUACAGAUAGGAAUAGAUUUUUAAACCAAACCAAACUGCUACGGUUACCUGAAAUGCUGUAGUAAACAGCUAAUUACACUUUUUCCUUUCCUUACACAAUAAUGUAUCCUCCCAACUGGAACAGCUUUUUCAGAUGAUAUACCUGAGGAUGAUGUGGCUGCAGCAUUUUUAUCAGCAAGUCGCUUCUAAAAAUUUCCUUCCAUACUUGUAUCUUUUCCCUUCAUUUUUCUAUUUCAACUUUUAACUCAUUAGUUUAAAAUAAAUUUUUAAAAAUAUCUAGGAAUCCUUAUGAGUGCUUAGAAUUCUGAAGUGUUUUUACUUUUUUAUGCCAUGGUUUCAUUUUCUUUGCAAGGUGUUUUUAAACUAAGAAAUGCAGCCAUAGAAACAACUCAGUUGCUCAUUUACUCCUUGUCCCUUCAUAUCUUUAUUCUUUUGUUUCUGCAUGCACACCAUUAGCUGGCUGUAGUCUAUCACAUGCAAAACAGCAUGUUUCCUAGUUCUUGUUCAGUAAUUAUUUUUGAAUCUUUAAUGUAAUCUAUAUCUCUUAAUUUUUUUUUGCAUUGCUCUCUCUUUUUGUUCAUAAUUCUAUAUCUAUUGAGACACAAAUUCCUUUAUUUUUUUCUAGAGUAACCCCUGUAGUUACUGCAUGUAUUGUAGAAAAACAUAAUUAAGAUCUAAUGUAGGUUAUAGGCUUUCAUUGCUACUGUCUGUGAACUGUGGUUUACCUAAAUGUGGUAUAUAAUGCACUAAAAUAAUCCUUUGUGAGCCUGAGAAAUUCUCAUUUUAUGCAGCUGGUUUUCUAAUCAAUACAGAGCCCUUUCAUACUUAUUAUUUGAUUUGGUGUAUUCUGCAAGGAAUACUGUUUAAGUUUCCUAUACUUCUGGAUGUUAUCAGGAGUUUACCUUGGGAGGGAGCAUGACAGCCUGUAAUUCCAAAGCACCUGAUUUUUCUUGCCCUGUCACUUUGUGCACAUACAGGUGUCUACUGAGAAAGGAGCAUCCAGAAGGUAGAUCUGCCUAAGAACUGGUAAGAAGGCAAAGAAUGACAAGUGAAUGUAUUGGAUGGAUCCAGUGAAGUAUGAUUUGAAUGGGACAGGAUAGGCUUUUUCUGUUUCUUCAUUGAACAUCUAAUUGAUCCCUCUGAUUCUCCUUUAAGAGGAAUUCUUUCCCAGAGCUGCAAGGCCAGUCUCCUUUCAAGGUUAAUUGCAAAUGUGGUGAGAGACAGACUAGCUUGGGGCAGCUCCGGUGAUACUGUAAUUAGUCUCAGAAGGAAGGCAGAAGGGCAACUGCCAGGAAGAGUGUACCCAAAUCUAUAUUGUGCUCAAAGGUCUGCAUCAUAGGGGAGAUUUUGGCCAUAUUGCAAAUGUGGCACCUGUAUUAGUUGUCAGAGUAAGCAGGAGUGUGUGUGUGCUGCUAUGUGGGACAGCCAUGGCAGCCCACUUUUUCCUGUGUUUUCUUUCUCCACGAGUGUUUGGCGGCUUGGGGCUUUGCUGUGUAUUGUGUCACAGUGUGAAGCAUUUUUGAAAAUAAAUUAUUUCAAUGUGAGCCUAUUUACAUUGUGUCUCAAAUUGACUUGGGAGUAGUGAUUGCUUCAGAAAAUGUGCUCUUUGUGUUUUUUAAAAAAAUAGUAAUUAAAGUGUUGGGGUUUAAUUUGCAGUGCAACAGGUGCUACAGUUCUGGGCCAUUUUCAAUCUCUGCCAUCACUGUUGGGCAAAUUGACAUGGUUCAGUGCUGCAGCACAUUGUUUUCUCUUGCUUUAAUCUGUGUUGCUAUUCUUAAUCAAGUUGCAGUUUCCAGCUUGUUCACCGCUAUAUUUAUCUGUUAUGAAAUUCAAUAUUUAGUCUAUGGGAAGUCAAAAAAACAGGUAUACAGAUUUGAAAUCUGUCUCUUACUGUGUUUUUGAAACGUUGAUCCAGGAAUUCUUCAGGAAUUCUUUCUCAUCUUUCCAAGCUCAAAAAUUAUCUACUUAAAUGUCGAUUAAAAAAUGACUAUGUAAUAAAAAUACAAUGUGCAGUCAGCAUGCAGUGCAUUGUUUAUCUUGUGCCAUUUUUUCCUAAAUUAUAUCUGUCUCCACCCCCCUUUUUUCCACUUUUGAGCACUAAUCUAUUCUUCUGGUAUUGAGUCUUUAUUUGAUUUUUAUCAACCAUAUGUAACAAAUAGCAUGGAGAUAAUAGGAGUUUAAUAGAAGGAGGUUUUGGCUAUAGUUUUUCCUCUGAAAGCUGAAAAUAACUUCAGUAAGUGGAUGGUAGUCCCUGUUCAUAGGUUUAUAUCUAUGUUCCUUUUGUUCUAUGUGGUAGGUUUUUACCUCAUUUAUAUUUUCUCACAAUAUGUAUAUGUUCAAGUACUAAUGAAAAGUAUUCCUGUAAUUGGUUUUUUUUGUGCCAAUACCUAUUGCUAUCUCAAUUAUUACUUCCUCUAUAAUGAUGUAAAACCUGAUGUGUUUCACAUAACUUCAUUUUUAUGAACUCAUUUUCCUGCAUAGAAGAAUGGCUAAGUGGGUAGCAAAAGAGCUUAUUCAAGUUAA